RNAcentral lists this ribosomal RNA (468 nucleotides) under uncultured bacterium. RNAcentral describes it as "partial 16S ribosomal RNA". It matches the Rfam family "Bacterial small subunit ribosomal RNA", at positions 28 to 507 of the family's 1533-position model. The record is from RNAcentral.
GACGAACGCUGGCGGCGUGCUUAACACAUGCAAGUCGAACGGAAAGGCCCUGCUUUUGUGGGGUGCUCGAGUGGCGAACGGGUGAGUAACACGUGAGUAACCUGCCCUUGACUUUGGGAUAACUUCAGGAAACUGGGGCUAAUACCGGAUAGGCGCUCCUGCUGCAUGGUGGGGGUUGGAAAGUUUCGGCGGUUGGGGAUGGACUCGCGGCUUAUCAGCUUGUUGGUGGGGUCGUGGCUUACCAAGGCUUUGACGGGUAGCCGGCCUGAGAGGGUGACCGGCCACAUUGGGACUGAGAUACGGCCCAGACUCCUACGGGAGGCAGCAGUGGGGAAGAUUGCACAAUGGGCGGAAGCCUGAUGCAGCAACGCCGCGUGCGGGAUGACGGCCUUCGGGUUGUAAACCGCUUUCGCCUGUGACGAAGCGUGAGUGACGGUAAUGGGUAAAGAAGCACCGGCUAACUACGUG